This is a non-coding RNA of Triticum urartu, 1059 nucleotides long. NCBI's taxonomy places the organism in Eukaryota, Viridiplantae, Streptophyta, Magnoliopsida, Poales, Poaceae. The record is from RefSeq and is a predicted model, not a curated record.
GUGUGGCACACCCCUCCCUCUCCCCGACCCAGACCCCGUCGUGCCCCGAUCCACUCCCGCCGCCGCCCCCGCCCCCGCCCCUUGUCCCCCAGACCAGCCGCCGCAACGGAGAGAGGCGCCGCCGUGGCUGGCUUCCUUGCCGGCGCGCGCGUCCGUGCUUCGGUGCACUGUGCUCCAUCCUCCCGAUUCCCCAUCGCCCCCCACCGCCGCCAACCACAUCUUCGCCUCUGUCCUCCCAUAGCUCGCUGCCGGGAUCCCCUUUCCCCUUCUCGCAGCUCCACAGCUGCCAGAUCUGCCGCUCUCCGACCCCUCCGUCCUCGAGGUCGACUGGAUCCGCCCCUCCCUCUAUCCGAAGCUUGUCGCGGCCCCUUGCCCGUGGCUAGGGUUUCGGCUGCGGUGAUGCGUCCACCGACUGUGCGUCUCAGGCGGCUCGUCUCCGUCGCCCACCCCGGGCUCCGCGCAGGUUCAACCUCCUCGGGCUGGUCCAGUUCGGGACGGAGGUGGUGAGCGUCCUCCUCGGACAUCGCCCACCCGUGGCCGGAGUGGGUCGCGCUGAUGGAGCUCCUCCUCCACAAGGGCCACCUCGACGCCUCCGCCUUCGCCGGCGCCGCGCCGUCCAAGGACUCCAACCUCGUCCGCGCGCCCGAAGAUCGUCUGGUAUCUGUCAAGAUGGGAUAUUCAGGUCGCUCUGCAUGGUAGACGACGAAGACACGGGCUGUAGGGUGACGCUCGCCUGCGCUGGGCACUUUGCCGAGCCGUGCGUGGCCUCCAUCGCUGGCUGACACGGAAAGUGCUAUGGAACAAGAGGUGCCGGAAGGUGGAGAACAUUCCUUCACUCAGCACAUUCCUUCACUGGUUGUGUUUUUUUGGUUGGUGCCAUCUUAUGUUACUGGUUACUAGUGCACAAUAUGGACAUGUGCAAUCUUAUGAACAUGGGGUAAUGAUACUAAGCUACUAGUUGUGUUAUUUUGGCUGGUGCAUCUUAUGAACCUGUGGUGUAAUGAUAAUGCUGGGCCUAAAUUAUUGAAAUCCUGGAGAAUUAUAUUAUUAUUGUCAUUA